AAAUCUUGAACUUCUUUUCACAGUAGUAGCCACUGAAGUUUUAGCAGUCUGUUGCUGCAGACUCUGAUUGUCAUCACCCCCAAGUGUAGCUGCAGAUGGAUCUCUACGCCGUCUUUUGGCACGAGUUGCCUGAGUCUCACCUUCUGCCAUGCACAUCCGGCACCUUCCUGGGUUUUCCUCAUCCUUCCCCAUUAUCAUUUCCAUGUUAUACUUCCUUGGAAUCCUUUUCUUUCCUUCUUUCUGUGGUCUGUGUUCCUG
RNAcentral lists this unclassified non-coding RNA (258 nucleotides) under Hevea brasiliensis (rubber tree). Lineage: Eukaryota; Viridiplantae; Streptophyta; Magnoliopsida; Malpighiales; Euphorbiaceae. The record is from RNAcentral.